RNAcentral lists this unclassified non-coding RNA (347 nucleotides) under soil metagenome. RNAcentral's name for it is "partial contains 5.8S ribosomal RNA, internal transcribed spacer 2, and large subunit ribosomal RNA". The stretch from base 1 to 120 matches the Rfam family "5.8S ribosomal RNA", at positions 35 to 154 of the family's 154-position model. The record is from RNAcentral.
GAUGAAGAACGUAGCGAAAUGCGAUAAUUAAUGUGAAUUGCAGAAUUCAGUGAAUCAUCGAGUCUUUGAACGCACAUUGCGCCCCCUGGUAUUCCGGGGGGCAUGCCUGUCCGAGCGUCAUUGCUGCCCUCAAGCACGGCUUGUGUGUUGGGCUUCCGUCCCUGGCAACGGGGACGGGCCCAAAAGGCAGUGGCGGCACCAUGUCUGGUCCUCGAGCGUAUGGGGCUUUGUCACCCGCUCCCGUAGGUCCAGCUGGCAGCUAGCCUCGCAACCAAUCUUUUUAACCAGGUUGACCUCGGAUCGGGUAGGGAUACCCGCUGAACUUAAGCAUAUCAAUAAGCGGAGGA